Molecule: non-coding RNA, 111 nt
Organism: Acanthosepion pharaonis
Lineage: Eukaryota; Metazoa; Mollusca; Cephalopoda; Sepiida; Sepiidae
Source: the annotation of a GenBank genome assembly
GACCAUAUCAAGUUGAAACACCGGUUCCCGUACGAUCACCGAAGUUUAAGCAAUGUCGAUCCUAGUCAGUAUCUAGAGGGUUGACCGCUUGAGAAUAUCAAGUGUUGUAAG